UUUAGUAUAAUUAGUAUUAAUUUUUAAUAAAUUAGUAAAAUAGUGUAAUUCUCAGUAAAUAAUUUUAUAUAUUAAAGAAAUUUAGAUUUAUUAAUAAUUAUUAAUAUUAACAAAAUUUGUGCCAGCAGUUGCGGUUAUACAAAUAAUAUAGUUAAAUUUUUAUAGUAAAACUAUAGUUGAUUAUAGGGUUUAAAAAUAUAAUUUUUUAGGUGAAAUUUAAAAUUAUUAAAGUUAAUUAAUUAUUAAUUAUUGAAGUUAAAAAUUUAAUUUAAAAACUAGGAUUAGAUACCCUAUUAUUAUAAAUAUGAUUUUAGGUACUUAGUUAGUAUUAGUUAUGGUCUUUAAAAUUAAAAAAUUUGGCGGUAUUUUAAUUUUUCAGAGGAACCUGUUUCAUAAUUGAUAGUCCACAAUUAAAUUAAUUUUUUUUAAAUUUAUAUAUCGUUGUAGUUUGAUUAUUCUAGAAGGUGUAUAUUCAAGAUUUAUUAUAAUAAAAAAUAUCAGAUCAAGAUGUAGUUUAUAAAGAAAAGAAAAUGGGUUACAUUAAAUUGAUUUAAAGAGGGGUAUUUUAAAAAUAUUCUAAAUAUGGAUUUGAAAGUAAUAUUGAUUAUAUAAUUAAUAUGAUUAAACUAUAAAGUAUGCACAUAUUGCCCGUCGCUUUCAUUAUAAAAUGAAAUAAGUCGUAACAAAGUAGAUUUAUUGGAAAAUGAAUCUGGAAAAUC
This 719-nucleotide non-coding RNA is filed under the name Plateumaris sericea. The record is from RNAcentral. Lineage: Eukaryota; Metazoa; Arthropoda; Insecta; Coleoptera; Chrysomelidae.